This is a long non-coding RNA of Vollenhovia emeryi, 438 nucleotides long. RefSeq lists it as uncharacterized. The record is from RefSeq and is a predicted model, not a curated record. Lineage: Eukaryota; Metazoa; Arthropoda; Insecta; Hymenoptera; Formicidae. The transcript is spliced from 3 exons.
UGUCGUCGAGGUAGGUGAGUCCAUUCCCAAGGCUUUGUUGAACGGGAUAGGUACCGAGCCCAAGGGACACGCCGAGCUACAAGAUCUCUAUUAUGUCAAGGAAAGGCGGAAUGAGCUUCUUGGGACUUUCGUUUCGUUCGUUCGAUGAACCGAUCGUUCAAUAGGAUUCAUUUUGGCUUUGAUGAAUCUUGAUUUGCAAAGUCGCGUAUAAAUUUAGAGCGAAGGGAGUAAAAUCCAUCGCAAAAUCCGGCACACAACAGGGUCGUAAAUAAUCAACGGCUCUUCGAUCCGACAACAAUAUUGUAACACCGAUACUACCGUUGCCGAUAACGUGCGAUUGACAGGUAAAUUUACUUCGUUGCUAGCAAAUGAACAUAAAGGAUUCAGGAAUAUUCGAAGGGCAUUAACACAGCCGAUCGUCGGUGUCAAAGACUAAUU